Molecule: long non-coding RNA, 530 nt
Filed under: Rattus norvegicus (Norway rat)
Lineage: Eukaryota; Metazoa; Chordata; Mammalia; Rodentia; Muridae
Description: long non-coding RNA NONRATT017107
Source: RNAcentral
CACACAGAGCCCUAAGCUGUUAUCAUAUAGAAGUGGUAUAAACAUAAUCAGGACUGGACAGGUCCUACGGGCACAAGGAAGUUACAGGAAGACUUUGCCCAACUGCCUCCCGUCUCUAGUCCUGUUACAAUCUCAUCUGCAGCCAAGCAUGCACCUGCAGCCUCAUGAGCUGUGCCUUAUCCUUGCAAGACUGAGGAAGAAGAGACGAGGGCCUGUCUUGCUGAUGGCUGUGCAUGCUAUGCAGGCCCCACCAGACGUGGACAACUGCAGCAUUACCACCCCUUGCCAGGAGAACCCUGAAGGACACUUCUGGUGGGAAUCUUCACAGUGGGAGGAAGUUCAGGCCAUGCACAUGGUAAUGCCUUUCAUCUGGAUGGAGAAAUGGUCACAUGUGAGAUUGUUCUCUAAUUCAUGGGCUGUGGCCAGUGGAUUGGCUGGAUGGACAGGGCCUUGGAAAGAGCAGGGUUGGAGUCAUCUGUGGAAGAAGCCGGGGGAUAGAUCUGUCCACAUGAAUAAAGGCUGUGAAGACA